AUGUUAAGUGUUCUUACCACAGGAGAAGAAAAGAAAAUAGAGACACAGAGCAAAGAGUCUCCCCCCUCAAGAAAAAAAAAAAAAAAUUAAAUAAAUACAUCCGUAUCCCUACUCAAACAAAUGAGUCACCAAGGUCCAGGCCUGACCACAGGCCGAUAGAUGUGGGACAAAGCAGGCAAGACACCUGGGAGACACACCACCAGGUGAGCUGAGUGAGAGGGGGUGGAGCGGGGCACAGCCCAGCCCCACCUGGGCUGCAGCCUCGGAGGUUGGCAGCCUGAGCGGCGGGCAGGCCCCAGGGCCACGUUGAGGAAGACCUGAUGUAGGCCAUGACCAAAUACGGCAAGGCCCCACUGACAGACUCCUCGGUGUGUGAGUCACCGAGAAAAAUCCCGUCGCGGCUCCCGACUGUGCCCUAGCCCCCGGGGCUCGGAACCACUGUAUUCUUCCUUCCAGAACAGGAAUUUAAACAACAACAAAAAAAUUUCUUCCUUAAAAUGACAAACCAGAAACACAAGUUGGAGAAAGGUCACUGCAAUUAAAAAAAAAAAGAAAAAAAAAGGAAUUCUCUGUGGGUCAGAAGGUGAAGGAUGACCCACAGAUCGGGGGACCCUGCAGGAAAUUCACUGAGCAGAGCAGAGCUUGGUCUUGGGAAAGGAAACCAGGGAGGUUGCCGUGGGAUAUGCUUUCUUAGCUGCAGCACCAAGACCUCUGACAAAAGAACAGAACAAACAUGACCUAUGAGAAAAUGUCCAGAGCCCUGCGCCACUACUACAAACUAAACAUUAUCAGGAAGGAGCCCGGACAAAGGCUUUUGUUCAGGUUUAUGAAAACCCCCGAUGAAAUCAUGAGUGGCCGAACGGACCGUCUGGAGCACCUUGAGUCCCAGGAGCUGGAUGAACAAAUAUACCAAGAAGACGAGUGCUGAGGGAACCAAGCCACGGCUUCCGCAGGGGGGGUCAGCAGCCGGGGGCCCCCUGCCCAUGAGGGUCCUGGAGGCGUGGCGAGCAGGCGGACUGCAAGCUGAACCGGAAGAGACCUGGAAGUGGGAGUGACACUUGUCUCGCAUAGUGGGAGGGCCCCCAGAGCACCUUAGACAAACCACCCAGCGAAGGCGGGGCUGGAAUUCUGGCCGAGGGCACGAGCCUGGGACUCCUGGUUCCGUUUCCUCCUCUUGUGGAACCUCUCCAUCUGUAAUUCCUCACCCUCACCCAUCCACCUAUUGUUAGUUUCAUGGUGUUUUCGUUUUUGUUUUUUUGGGUUUUUUUUUUUUUUUUUAAGACCAUGCAGUUUGACUUUUCAUCAUUCAUACAGGGGAAGACAUCCGAGGUUGUUUUCCUAUGGAAAUAUAUAUCUAUUAUAUAUAUCUAUUUUUUGCAAAUCUCACAAAGUGCGGCAAGCCCAGCUGGUCAGGAAAGAGAACACUUGCAAAGGGUUUCAGGUUCCUCUUUAUCCUGCCAUGUGGAUCAGGUUUGUUCCUGUUGCUGUUGGGUCUUGGCUGGAAAAAAAAAAAAAAAAAAGAUGCUUUUAAAAAAGAUAAAGUGAAAAGGAGAGCUCUCUUUUUCUCCCUCUCGCUCUUUCCUUCCCUGCCUCCCGUCUGUCCUCCCUCCCCGCCUGCUGUUGAGCUUCAGAUGCCUUUUAGCAGAGUUGAGCCUCUCGGAGAGUCUUGAGCAUUGUUGACACCCAGACAGCAUCAGUGGUCUGGGCGCUUUGCAGCCGGCACCGCAAAAUCAAACCCACAUCCCGGCAUCUGGCUACCCAUCGGAGGGAGGCCCCAAACCUCACAGGUGCUGCGGUCCUCCAGAAAGAAGUGCCAGUCCAGCGGGCUGCCCCUGCCCCCCACAUGGCUGUGAGAACCCCAGGACUUGGUGGUUCUGCAGGAUGGAAGAUUAAGGACAGAAGGCGGGUCUGCGUCAUUCGGAAGGCCCCAGCAUCAUGGGAUUAGCUUGCAAGUUCCGCAAGGUGGAAAAUACAAAAGGACCCCACGGGCCUGAUGGUCAGAAACUAGGUGGAAAAUGUGCUGCAGGAGGGAUUUAUGCUUCCAGCGGAGGUGACUAAGGCUAGUGAGGGAGAAGGUCUUCUCUGCUCCGUCCCGAGGCCAUCUUGUGGUCAGUUUCAUGCCCUCACCUGAUUUUUUUUUUCCCCCAAUUCCUAGCCUUUUUUUUUUUUUUAAGUUUCCUGGUCCCCACAGGACCCAGGGCAUUUGAGAGGAGAGGACCCUGGAGUACACAGUCACUUGCUCCUGGUGUUUGCCAAGCCAGGGCAAACAGGAAACUCCUCAGAUUCAUUACCUGUUUCUUCUUUCAUAGCUGUGUUUCAGAACGGACCCAUUUGUGGCUCUUUUACACCUCAAAAUCAGGUCCAUAGUAUCUUGUAAAAUGAGGAAGUGCCACCUCUUAGUACUUUUGAUGAUAACAGAUAUUUUUAGAAAGCUGUUUUAGGGUUUGUUUGUUUUUUUCCUUUUCUAGCCACCUGAAUUGACUCUCCCAUUCCCAGGUUCAGAAUCCAGUAUUAGGACAGUCUUUUUUAAUCCAAGAGAUUAGACCUGCCUUACAAAGCACCCCCUCCUUGCUUCUCUGUUUCCUCUACUCGCUCGGGUGAACAUCUCAUAGCUCCCAGCAUCACCAUCAGCAGCACUUAGGGGGAGGCUGCCAGAGCCCUGGGUAGCUCCUCAAGCCACUUCCGACCGCAUCAGGCAGGUGGGGGUUGGAGCAACUCAGGCAGGAGGAAUUGUCCCCCAGCCUUACUGACAAGGACACCAGCCUGCGGGGAGGGAAGGACAGAUUGACUGUGGGUCAAGGACACGGGAAUCAGGGAGCCCUUCAAAGCUCUUCAGUUGUGCUCCGUUCCUGCCUCUUAUCAGACCGCAGAUAGACACAUGGAUGUGGCCAGCCUCUUCUGCUGUCAGGCGCUCCCCCAACUCUACCUUCCAGAAGGUUGGGCUUGCGGUCAGGUCAACGACCUGCUGUGUGAGGCUGGAGGGUCCAUUGAUGAAGGAAGGGUUUGGUCUCAGUCUGCUUGAGUGGUGGUGAAAUUGAGCUGGACCCCAGCAUGCUACAGAUAUCUUUCAGGAGCGAUCGACAGCAUGCAGGGAUACAUUCUCCAGCCUCUAAGAUGACUGAUAUUGGAUCACAACUGGAGAUCUUAAGCCAAGUACCGGGUGUGUUGUGAAGGCUGUUGAAUUUAAGGGCUGAAGAGAAAGGGUGGAUUUUGACUGAGGCCCUUUGUGUGACUAUGAAAUCAGAGACAGGGCAUGAUGUGGCUCUUAGAUUAGAACAUCUCAUUCUGUUCACUUUACCCAGAUAGAAGGGCUCAGGCUCUUACUGUUCAAAGAAUAUUACAGUUGAAUUAUGGAGGGAAAUUCCCUUUGGCCCCAAGGACUUCUGUAUUUAAGGCAAUACCCUGCAAGAAUAUGUAAGAUAGGAUGACACCUUCAGCCACUUGAAGAAAAGAAGGUGCUAAUUCCAAUAUGAUCUUUAUUUCCGACCCAGAUAUUACCAAUAAGAAUUUCCUGUUGAUUCCCUUAAAGGCAAAAGUCCUCCUCAUUUAUGCUUUGAGCUAACACCUGGGCAGUGCUGACCCCAGAGAUACGGUGCUUGCACACUGCAGACCCCAGAGAUACCUGCUUCAGCUCAGCAAACUUGGCUGAAGCACCUGCUAGACACUGUGAGGGAUUCAAAGAGGGAUUGGGCACAGCCCCUGCCCUCCCGAGAGCAUCUGCUAAACCUGUAGAAUCUAUCCAGGCUGAAAUUCUUAACUUCAACACUAAGUGCUGGGGAGGAUGGCACGUUCACCUGGGACCACAUGAAAAGCAUGUCUGUGAUCUGAAUAGUUGGCCUUUCCCUGCUGCUGUCAUGGGAUUCCUUGGCUUAGAUCAGAAAUCAGGAAAGGAGAAUGCAGAAGAGCACCGUGGAGCGGGGAGAGCUUCCUUCAGCUAUGUCUGGGGGGCGUCGCUCUCGCUUGAUCUCCAGCUAGAAAUUCUCUAGCACCUUCUCUUGCCUGCAUCUUGGGUUCACUGCAUUGCCUCCUCUCCAUCAGAGGAAAGCAGUGGCGAUUGGCUGCUCUGGCCAUGUGGAGGGAACAGUCUUUUUGUCCCAAGGCAACUUGAUCUCUGGCCUAAGGCAGCAUCACCAAAGUCCUGAGUCCUUCCUUUCUUUCUUUCUUUCUUUCUUUCUUUCUUUCUUUCUUUGAGGGGGACGUCCCCACAGAAAAAGAGGAAUGACAGACUGAUGGAUUUUCUCCGCUCAACAGUGUGUUUGGAACCCUCUGACCCAGGGUCUUUUUACGCUGAUAUCUUGCCCAAAUAAGAAUGUAGCUUUAGCUAAAACUUCAAUGGCAAUGACAGGAUUCACCUAAAUGACUAAGUAACCACUGUUUCCACCUUUCACUGUCUAGGCUCCAACUCUGAAUACAUUUUUGAAACGUUCACUCCCUUCUGCAGAAGGGAGACCUGAGUGUCCAGGAGGUAGGAUGAUGCCCUGGGAGCAGAUGGCAUGCCAGGGAGAGUGAGGUGUGGAAUCCAGCCCGGCCAUACCCCCAUUUGACCCAUUCCCACCCAGGAAGCUGAAGAUAAAAGAUUUGGGGCAAUACCCAAAAACAAAGGGCAGGUUUUUUUUGCCCUAGCGUUCGGUGCUAGUAAGUUUUUAUCCACUCAGCCUGCUCCUCUUCUGAGCAGAAGUCUGGAAGGAAGGCAGUGAUCUAAGGAAGCCAUGGGGGGAGGGGAAUGAUAAUUCCUGCCUGUCUAAAAACCACAGAAGACUAACCUGAUACUCCUUUGGCCCCAUCUGCGUCAACACUAAACAACUACAAACUCCCCGAAUCUUUCACACAUGCCAAGUGAACAUUCUCGAAGAUCUCUCUUUGUGACUGCAACCACCUGCAAACCAGAACGAAUCUAGAGUUUCUUUUCCUUUUUUCUUUUUGCUUAAUUUCUAAUCUCUUGUUGUUUAUGAGGUGUGGGGUUUAUAAGGGACUGAAUCAAAUGAAUGUAACAAAAAAGAAAAAAAAAAAAAAACAAAUGCCUUUUCUCAGGGC
This is a non-coding RNA of Leptonychotes weddellii (Weddell seal), 5034 nucleotides long. The record is from RefSeq and is a predicted model, not a curated record. Lineage: Eukaryota; Metazoa; Chordata; Mammalia; Carnivora; Phocidae.